UGAGUCUGAAUUUUUGAGUGCAACCAAGUAAGUGCUUUACUAUUUGUUUCAAUUUGCCGCUGAACACUUAACAUCCUGCCAUGUUGACAAGUGCCAAGAAAGAUGAUCUUAGGCUUGUUGCCAUAAAGCUAGGUGAAAGAAUAGGCAAGAAAAUGAUGGUUAUAGAGUUGACGGAUAUCAUUAAAAAUAGCGAGAAGUAUAAAGGUGAUCCCAAAACUAUUGUAGAACUUAUAAAUUCGGUUAUUGAGGAUAGAAAGGCAGAGGAACAAAGACAAGUAGAGCUAGAAAAAAUUUAAGUUAGAAAAAGCCAAAGCAGAGAUAGAGCUGGCUCGUAUUCGAAUAGAGCUAAGAGCUGACAAUUUAACCGAAAAUGGAGUCGAUAAACAAGAAUCAUUGGACACUCUGGUUAAGAGUAUCUGUACUUUGACAAUCAAGGUUCCC
This 441-nucleotide long non-coding RNA is filed under the name Androctonus crassicauda. Lineage: Eukaryota; Metazoa; Arthropoda; Arachnida; Scorpiones; Buthidae. The record is from RNAcentral.